RNAcentral lists this ribosomal RNA (248 nucleotides) under uncultured bacterium. RNAcentral describes it as "partial 16S ribosomal RNA". It matches the Rfam family "Bacterial small subunit ribosomal RNA", at positions 523 to 769 of the family's 1533-position model. The record is from RNAcentral.
AUACGUAGGUGGCAAGCGUUGUCCGGAUUUAUUGGGCGUAAAGCGAGUGCAGGUCGGUCUUUUAAGUCUGAUGUGAAAGCCCUCGGCUUAACCGAGGAAGCGCAUCGGAAACUGGGAAACUUGAGUGCAGAAGAGGACAGUGGAACUCCAUGUGUAGCGGUGAAAUGCGUAGAUAUAUGGAAGAACACCAGUGGCGAAGGCGGCUCUCUGGUCUGUAACUGACGCUGAGGCUCGAAAGCGUGGGUAGC